AGAGAGAGACAUGCGCGUAUAUCAAUAAGCGGAGGAAAAGAAACUAACAAGGAUUCCCUUAGUAACGGCGAGUGAAGCGGGAAGAGCUCAAAUUUGAAAUCUUCAAGGUUUUACCUUGACGAAUUGUAGUUUAAAGAAGUGUUUUCUGCUGAAGUUUUGGUAAAAGUUCUUUGGAAUAGGACAUCAUAGAGGGUGAGGAAUCCCGUAUUUGACCAUUAUUUUCAGCUUUGUGAUACACUUUCAAAGAGUCGGAUUGUUUGGGAAUGCAGUCCAAAAUGGGUGGUAAAUUUCAUCUAAAGCUAAAUAUUGGCGAGAGACCGAUAGCGAACAAGUACCGUGAGGGAAAGAUGAAAAGAACUUUGAAAAGAGAGUUAAACAGUACGUGAAAUUGUCAAAAGGGAAGCGUUUGACACCAGUGUUGUUUUCUCGAAAAUCAAUUAAAAAUGGCUCGAUUUUGUAUUGUUGAGACCUUAAAAGCUCACUGUACAUUUUUCGUGUCUUUUUUAAUACACUUUUCGUUUAACAAGUCAACAUCAGUUUCUUUUGUUGUAAAAGGGUCAUUGGAAGGUGGCUUUCUUUUCGGAGAAAGUGUUUAUAGCCUUUGGCCUCUGCAAUCGGAGAGACUGAGGUCUGCAGCGUAGACUCUUCGGGGUUAGAUACAUUUGUGCUAAGUUAUAGCUUUUUAUAGACAACUUGUUGACUAUAAUUAGUCUUGUAGCUUACUCGCUUAUGCUAUUUUACCUACGCUUAGGAUGUUGAAGAUGUAGCACAUCA
This 774-nucleotide ribosomal RNA is filed under the name uncultured Neocallimastigales. RNAcentral describes it as "partial large subunit ribosomal RNA". It matches the Rfam family "Eukaryotic large subunit ribosomal RNA", at positions 23 to 619 of the family's 3401-position model. The record is from RNAcentral. Lineage: Eukaryota; Fungi; Neocallimastigomycota; Neocallimastigomycetes; Neocallimastigales.